UGUCCCGGCCUACCGCCUGCAUGAUUAACAAUGCUCGUGGGCUGUUAUUUUGUCACGUGUCCACGGACAUCCUCGGCAGCUCUCUCCAGGCAUCUCUAACAGGACUUGGCCAGCGGAAGGCCCUCCAGAGUGUGAGUGAAUGCCUGGUCUGGCACCAAGCGCACCGCAGGCUCUGCGGACCGUGUCUAAGAACAUUUUGAUGGGAGCCUCAGCCUAGGGGCCAGGAGGUCAAGGUCCAGGGUGAGAGUAAAAGUGGGCUCCCCAGGGACUGGUCCCUGCCAGUGUGGCCAAGACCUGCUCCUGGGGUGGUCAUUCUUAUGGUGACCACCAGGGGUCAGGGUUGGCCCGGUCUGACUUUCUGCCUAGUUGCAGCACCCCAGGGUGGCCUGCAGAGGGCAGCAGGGACCCCCCCCACCUUCCUGCGAGCAGCAAGGUGGGGGUGUUGCCAAAAAGAAUGCAUUUGAAGCCCUGACUUCCUUGGCUUUCUAUCUCUGUUAAAGAAGAGAAUUGGUAAGUCUGUCUAUCCAUCUGUGGGUCUGUCUACCGUUCUUUCACCCACCCAUCCUUUGUCCCUUUGUCCACUCAUCUGUUCAUUCAUCCAUUUUUCCUUUAUCUUCCAUUUGUUCAUCUACCCGUUUAUCUGCCCCUUCCUCCAGCCACCCACCUAUCCUUCGUCCGUUUAUCUGGCUGUCCACCUGUCCAUCCUAGUGUCUGCCCAUCUGUCUGUCCUGCUUUUAUUCAUCCAUUUGCCCAUCCAUCCAUCCAUCUAACCAACAUCUGUCCAUCUACCCUCUGUCUAUCCCAUGUGCACUGAGAGCCCUUGUUGAGCCAGGCCUUGCUCAGUCCUGGGGUACCCCAUAAAGAGAGGAGGUGCGGUUCCUGCUCCCACCCCAAGCUCACUGUUUGGUGGGUCAGAAGUUACACUAGGCAGUGAUAAAAUAGCAAGAUGUGUUGGAGAGUCUUGGGGGGAGCAAGCAAAAAUCUCACAUUUCAUUAUUAAUUUUUUCAUCAAGUCAGACUCUAAGGCUCCAUCCCCUGCAUGGGAAGGACACUCCUUUGUCAUUUGUGCAGGAAGUCCUUGAAUUAAACAAAAAUAUUGGAGGCUUAUAUUGUUCCCGAAGGAAAAUAGGGGAAGACAUCUGGUUCACCUUCAGCCCCUCAUGGCGCUCUCUCCCUGCCUCUCACCCAGCUUCCUGGCUCUGGGGAAGCUUUGCUGACCUGAGCCUGAGAAGCUGCCUCUCAGAGGCACCCCAGACCUUCCAUGCAGCUGUUGCCAGCGGUGGGAGCCUCUGGGUUCAGGGCGAAUGCCACCUGAAGAUGAAGACUUUGGAAAUCAAGGAGAUGCUUCUAGAAGCCAAAAAAAUGCCAGACUGCCAACACUAGAACGAGGGGAGAGCGUGCAACAGAUUUCCCCUCACGGCCCCCAGAGGGAAGCAAUCCUACAGAGACCUCACUCUUGGAUUUCCACCCUCCAGAAUCCUGGGACAAUACAGUUCCGUUGUUGACGCCACCCGGUCUGUAGUCCCGUGUUCUGAUGGCCCCGGUGCACGGACCAUCUGUGCUCCCACAGUUACCAAUGCCUCUGGCAUUCACAUGGCAGAAACACCGCAGCACGCGUCAAGGGAAAGAUUGGCGUUCGUGCCUGAACAAUACUCAAGAGAGCCAACAGUCACUGCGUGAGCAGCUUGACACCAGGAUGGUGGAAGACCUGCUCUGGAUCCAAGGCUGCCAAGGGCUGAUGGGUAGAUGGACAGACAGACUGCCUGGCGGACGGACGGUUGCUUGCCUUCCAGCUCUGUGGGUGGACCAGAGUCCUGAAUGGGAUGGGGGCCUCCCUACGCUCUGCCCCAGGGUACAUCUGCAGGGUUGGUGCCUGUACCUUUCUCUCUGUGUUAGCAGCAGAAUUCCUGACCAGGCCUGGCCUGGGGUGCAGGAGAGGGAGCUUGACCCAGCCUUGACCGAUAGCCUUGACCUAAUCAGGGCAGAGUCUAGUCCUUCAGCUGUUCUCCUCGAAAUGUAUAUUGAUCCCUUCAUCCCCGUGUUGAUUUUCAUUUUAUUUUUGUAAAUAUUUAUUUAUUUGACUGAGAGAGAUAGACACAGUGAGAGAGGAACACAAGCAGGGGGAGUGGGAGAGGGAGAAGGAGGCCUCCCACUGAGCAGGGAGCCCGAUGCCGGGCUUGAUCCCAGGAUCCUGGGAUCAUGACCUGAGCUGAAGGCAGAUGCUCAAUGACUGAGCCACCUAGGCGCCCCUCAUCCCCCUGUUUAAAUCCACACAUGGCAUCCCACUGCCCGGGGCUGGGGAUUAGACCACCAUCCCUGCACUGGUCUAUGUCCUCAUCUCCCUUGUCUCCCUGCUUCAGCCACACUCACUGGCUGCCUGUCUCCCCAGCACUCUGAGCUCAUUGCCCUCUCCAUACUUUUGCCUAUGCUGUUCCUUGUGUCCCAGGCCCACUCUUUCCAAGGCUGGCUCCUCUUUAUCUGUCAGGACCCUGUUACGAAUGUCACCCCCUCUAGGAAGCCUUCUUGGAUUACCUGGCUAAAGCAGAUUCCCUGUUGCAUACCAUCUUUUCCCUUUGUUUUUUUUGUUUUUUGUUUUUGUUUUUUUUGUUUUUUUUUUUUUGGUUUGCUUUCUUCAUUGUCCUUACAUUAUAUGUCAUUAUUUGUCUUCAUACCUACUGAAUUACUUAAUUACUUCAUUGAUUUUUUUUUUUUUUUUUUUUUUUUACCCCUUAUUCCAUCAAACUAUAAGCUCCAUGAAGGCAGGGGUGGUGUCUAUCUUCUGUUCACAAAAACCAGUGUGAGACCUGACACUUAGUGAGCCCUUAGAAAAUGUCUGUUGAAUGAAUGGAUCCAAUACAUGUAUUGAGGAGCUGCACAACACAGGGCUAGAUCACAGUCCAGCAGAAGUGUGGGUACAAAUCCUGACUCUGACACUAAUUGGCAAUGUGCUCUAGGAUGCGUCACUAAAUCUCAUUGGGCCUCAGUCUCUCUUCUGUAAUAAAUAGGAUUGUUACAGGGAUUAAAUAAGUCAACCCAUUCAGUUUUUAGGAAAGGGCCUGGCACACACACCAAGAAAGUUGGAUGUUAGUGUUCUUGUAGGUAAAAUGCAGGGCUUUUAAGGUUCAGAGGUUCAGAGGCUGACUUCCUAUAGGUAAGAAUGGGAUAACUCCAAGAGGGCUUCCUGGAGGAGAAGACAUUUGAAAUGGACCAUGGCGGGGUUGGGGGGUGAAAUUUCUCUAGGCGGAGAUGGGGGUGGAGAGGUCAGGAGAGAUGAAGGACCCCUGGUACCGGGAAGAGACCCAUGGGCAAGCCAGCUCUGCCCUGGGGUUAGAUGCUCCUGAAGCUUCUCACAGAGUCAGGCCCAGCAUGAGCUGUGCUUUUCUCAGCCCGCAACCUCCCUGCUCACAUGGCCUUGACAUUUCAUUUAUACCCAUUUCCUGUGUUUGGUUUGUAUACUGUGAGUGCUGACUCUGAGGAGACAUGCGGAGGCCUGGCGGAAAAUGCCCCAGGAGGAGAUGACUCAGUUGCCCCAAUACCAACCCCAAGUAGACCCGAGUCGAUUUGACAUGGGGCAGAUCCGGAGAAGCCCCCACAGGGCUGCGCCAGGACGGGUCCUACAUGUCCCAGAAGCUCAGGAUGUAGCCUGAUGCCAUCGAUUCCCAAGGGCUUGCAUGAAUUGCUCUGACUCUCUGGGUUGCCCUCGGUCUCCUCACCUGUCAAAUGGGGGCAGACACACUCCUCAGAGUUGCUGGGAUGGUGAAAUGAGUCUUGGUGGGCAGAGAGCAUGUCAGAGUGGUUUCUGCCCUGGUUCCUCAUGUCAUUCAUUUGAAAACACUGUAGGAAGAGUCCUUUUAUUAUCCCCAUUUCACAGACGGGGAAUGUCGAGGUUCAGAGAAGGGCUCUGGUCUGCUCUGCACCAUGCAGCCAGGGAGCGACCCAAGACUGACCUCCAGAUAGGGUGCAAGUGAACAGAUAAUACAGGCUGAAGCAGGGAGAGCAACCACCAGAUGUAGCCAAGAGAGGAUGAACUCAUCACGGGAAACGGGAACACCGUUGGCUGUCUUUCCACUUCUUUUCUGAAGAGGGGGAGCCCAUCCUAGCACGGUGAGGAGUGUUUUCUAAACAUAAGACCCUGGCCCCUGGUAGUUACUCUGUAAAUAUCAGGUUAAUGAACAAAAACACGAAGUAGUACAAAAUGGCUCUUGUGAAUUAACCUGUGAGUGGAAAAUGAUUUUAAAGACCAAUUAAGGGGCGCCUGGGUGGCUCAGAGGAUUAAGCCUCUGCCUUCGGCUCAGGUCAUGAUCUCAGGGUCUUGGGAUCAAGUCCCCCAUUGGGCUCUCUGCUCGGCGGGGAGCCUGCUUCCUCCUCGCUCUCUGCCUGCCUCUCUGCCUACUUGUGAUCUCUGUCUGUCAA
This is a long non-coding RNA of Mustela lutreola (European mink), 4413 nucleotides long. RefSeq lists it as uncharacterized. Lineage: Eukaryota; Metazoa; Chordata; Mammalia; Carnivora; Mustelidae. The transcript is spliced from 3 exons. The record is from RefSeq and is a predicted model, not a curated record.